GACGAACCGUGCGAACGUUGUUCGGAAUCACUGGGCUUAAAGGGCGCGUAGGCGGGCGGUCAAGUCCGUGGUGAAAUCUUCCGGCUCAACCGGAAAACAGCCUCGGAUACUGGCGGCCUGGAGGGAGGUAGGGGCACGCGGAACUUCCGGUGGAGCGGUGAAAUGUGUUGAUAUCGGAAGGAACGCCGGUGGCGAAAGCGGCGUGCUGGACCUUUUCUGACGCUGAGGCGCGAAAGCCAGGGGAGCGAACGGG
Molecule: ribosomal RNA, 253 nt
Filed under: uncultured bacterium
Lineage: Bacteria
Description: partial 16S ribosomal RNA
Rfam family: Bacterial small subunit ribosomal RNA
Source: RNAcentral